UACGUAGGGUGCGAGCGUUAAUCGGAAUUACUGGGCGUAAAGCGUGCGCAGGCGGUUCGUUGUGUCGGCGGUGAAAGCCCCGGGCUUAACCUGGGAAUGGCCGUUGAAACUGGCGAACUGGAGUGUGGCAGAGGGGGGUGGAAUUCCGCGUGUAGCAGUGAAAUGCGUAGAGAUGCGGAGGAACACCGAUGGCGAAGGCAGCCCCCUGGGCUAACACGUGACGCUCGAGGCACGAAAGCGUGGGAGCAAACAGG
Molecule: ribosomal RNA, 254 nt
Filed under: uncultured bacterium
Lineage: Bacteria
Description: partial 16S ribosomal RNA
Rfam family: Bacterial small subunit ribosomal RNA
Source: RNAcentral